Molecule: long non-coding RNA, 219 nt
Filed under: Callithrix jacchus (white-tufted-ear marmoset)
Lineage: Eukaryota; Metazoa; Chordata; Mammalia; Primates; Cebidae
Description: lncRNA (ENSCJAG00000085192.1)
Source: RNAcentral
GGGAGCUCUAUCAGGCCAAGUGAAAAACAUUUUCUCUUGAACUCUCUCUACAGAGAGAGUGUAGAUGGAAAGGACUAAGGAGAAAAAUGAAUGCAUUUUCCAUGCUAGCAGUUGGUGUCUGGAUCACUCUGGACUUAUGUCCAAGGUUCUCCCAGCAGGACCUGCCCUCAGACAGGCUGUCUGGUCAGCACUCUAUUCCAAGAGAAAAAAAAAAAAAAC